CUAUAAAGUUGGGCAGUUCAAACUUUGCAAGGACAGUCUGGCACUUCUGACUCACAGCCUGUCUCCUCCUCCUUGUCUUGCGUCUGAUGGUCAGUAAACCCAGGCUCAUUUAAGACCAUCAUAAAAAACUCUCUACCAGCAAUUGUAAUGUUUAAAUCCAUUCUGAUGAAAUUGAAAACUUGUUUCCCCCUGCAGCUUUACUGUCUGUUUUGCACAUUACAAUAUUGCUGUAUAAAACAGUUGAAAAGAAGAUAUCUUUCAUCACAUGAGACCAAAAGGUCAUUAACCCAUUUAAUCCCAAUUUUUUUUUCAGACAUAAAAAUAUCAGGUGAUGUGUCAUUAGUAAGCCUUUGAAAUAAUUGUUUUUGGAAUUUUUUUUGGGAAAGUGUGCGAAAAAUCGUGUUUUAUGGUUGGUCACAAUUGUGACCGGUGGGAUAAUGUAUAUACUGAAUAAACAUAUAGUCAUGAAAAUUGUUGUAUAUCUCAGCCCAGCUAUUUGAAACUCUGUUUCAUCACAUUCUAGGGUUACUAUUCUGCAUAAAACCCUUAUAAAUCAUUCAUAGGAGUACUGAGAUAAAAUACAACCAUCAACAUAUUUCAGAAUGGUUAUACAUUAUUGUAACAUUUAUCAUAAAACUAUUAUAUUAGUACUACCAGUAUUACAACAUCAGUAGUGUAACUUAUUUGUAACAUUUGAAUUUUUUAAUUUAGUAUGAUAUUUUGUAAUUGCAACACUUUAGUGCAUUUUUCACUAACAACUGCAAAUGGAUUUACUGUAUAUGUAUACCUAAAUUCACUGUUAUCCCACUGGUCACAACAUGUUUACUGAUGCUAUGACAACACUCAACAAACUGUAGUAAUUGUGAAUUUAUAUAUUAAUACUAGACAUGUGGACUAAAAAUCUUUCUGUUACUUUACUAGCUUCUCGUGGUGCACACAGGAAAUAAACUGCUCUGGUCAUGUGACAAUUUGCACUAACCAUGUGAAACUGCACAUAUUGUGACUGGUGGGAUUAAAUGGGUUAAUGAUUAGACUAAAUACCACUAUAAUAGCCAAUAAACCAAUCUAAGAGGAGCAACAGCUGAAUGUUGUUCAACUGAAAACUGGUUUAUCUCAUUUUUGCAAUAACAAACAGUUAUUCUCUGUCUGAGAGUAUACUCUCUUCUGUUUUGGAAAAUAUUCAAAUAAGGGACAUGUGUACAUACACUGGAUACACGCUCGACUAGACCAAAAGGUCUGACUAGACCAAUUUGUCUACUUGAAUCUUUUUAUGUUUGCUUGUUUUUCUCAGUUUGUAAAGUGUGCGAGAUUGUGAGAUAUUAAAAAUGAAAUGAAUAGAAUGAGAAUGACGUUUGCAUGGUCACAACUACAGGUGUAAAUCGAUUUGUUUUCCAAGUGUACUUAUUGAGAUAAAUAAAGAAGUAUUAUAUAUCUGAAAAUAAUGUGCACCUGUAUAUUUUGCUCCAAACAUGAUAAUUUUAUCAAAAUGUCAAAGCGGUACAAUACAGUUUAAAUGCAUGGUAAAUAAAUAUAUGUGUGUGAUGACAGUG
Molecule: long non-coding RNA, 1550 nt
Organism: Cyprinus carpio (common carp)
Lineage: Eukaryota; Metazoa; Chordata; Actinopteri; Cypriniformes; Cyprinidae
Exons: 2
Source: RefSeq, a predicted model, not a curated record